AUGUCGUCAUCCAAUAGUUCCGAGGAUAACCAUCAUGAUCAAGAAGACACGAAUCAGAUUCACCCUGAUGAUCUAGGUCAACUGGAAGAUGAAGAACCGCACCGAGAUCGUGUUCUUAGUGAGGGAUCCUCACGAAAGUGUAAGAAACUAAAGAUGCAUGAUCAUAAUCUGCCUAUUCAGUUCCCAACCACUCUUUCCACAAACCACUUUGAUAACCUAAUCCGACGCCGUGAGGUGCAUCACAUCCCUCGUGCACAUGUCCCCUCAGCCUGGGAUAUCCAGCGUGACACGGGGUCAAAUGCACAAAGGAAAGAUGGUUGGGGUACCAAAAACUAUGAUAUUCUGCAGGCACAUCAGCGUACUAGCAUGUUGGUGCAGACUUUGAUUAACCAAAUGGAUCAUUUGACGGAGGUGGUCAUGAAGCAUAUCCAAGCAUGCGACAAGAAGCCACCACCACCAUGA
Molecule: ribosomal RNA, 462 nt
Filed under: Triticum aestivum (bread wheat)
Lineage: Eukaryota; Viridiplantae; Streptophyta; Magnoliopsida; Poales; Poaceae
Description: partial small subunit ribosomal RNA
Source: RNAcentral